Molecule: ribosomal RNA, 491 nt
Filed under: uncultured bacterium
Lineage: Bacteria
Description: partial 16S ribosomal RNA
Rfam family: Bacterial small subunit ribosomal RNA
Source: RNAcentral
AGUGAACGCUGGCGGUAGGCCUAACACAUGCAAGUAGAACGGCAGCACAGUAAGAGCUUGCUCUUACGGGUGGCGAGUGGCGGACGGGUGAGGAAUACAUCGGAAUCUACUUUUUCGUGGGGGAUAACGUAGGGAAACUUCGCUAAUACCGCAUACGACCUACGGGUGAAAGCAGGGGAUCUUCGGACCUUGCGCGAUUGAAUGAGCCGAUGUCGGAUUAGCUAGUUGGCGGGGUAAAGGCCCACCAAGGCGACGAUCCGUAGCUGGUCUGAGAGGAUGAUCAGCCACACUGGAACUGAGACACGGUCCAGACUCCUACGGGAGGCAGCAGUGGGGAAUAUUGGACAAUGGGCGCAAGCCUGAUCCAGCCAUACCGCGUGGGUGAAGAAGGCCUUCGGGUUGUAAAGCCUUUUUGUUGGGAAAGAAAAGCAGCAGGUUAAUACCCCGCUGUUCUGACGGUACCCAAAGAAUAAGCACCGGCUAACUUCGUG